This is a non-coding RNA of Tinamus guttatus (white-throated tinamou), 283 nucleotides long. The record is from RefSeq and is a predicted model, not a curated record. NCBI's taxonomy places the organism in Eukaryota, Metazoa, Chordata, Aves, Tinamiformes, Tinamidae.
AAGGAACCGAUCACCUCAGACAGACACCCUCCAGGAGAAGGGAUCCCGGCUGAAGCUUCCCCUUCCUUACAGGAAAACCUAUUCCAGGAACUCCAGGGCAUGGGAGAGUUGUCGUCUCUGUCAGACAAGAGCAGAUGCAGCAGCUGCAAGGAACCGUUUUAUAGAGAGAAUCCAGACAACUUUUUGUUCACCGCUACCAGCCUUCAGUCCUGCAGAGAUAGAGGAGGAGAUAAAGGUCCUGCAGGAUGUCCCCUUCCUUCUGAGCCAGUUUGUGGAAGCUGAG